UUUAUAAAUUGUAUCAUUUGUUAGUUACUUCUCAUUUGAGUUGUGAACUACUGUUCCCUGUAUACUGUGAAAUACUUUUUUUUGUAGAGUAUUUGUGGUUAUUUAUAUAAGGAGGUAGUUAAUAGUAAUAUAGCAUGAAAAAAGACUCAAGUCCAUGAACGUCAGCCUUUAACAUAACUGUAUUGCCCAAAAAGCAGGUGAAAACCCCAAUUUUAAGCGAUUUUCAUAUUAGGGAAAAUAAUUCCUUUUUUUACUCCAUUGACUCCAAAAUGACAGUCAGAAUUGUUAAAGCAGUUGGGGUUGAUAUGUAAUGUUUAAGUAUGUGGACAAUGACAAUUUUAUGUGUUUAUUUUUUUACAUUAUUAAAGGUGUGCUAACGUUUCUCAAACUAAAGUGUCUUAGUCUUUUUGGGAGGUUUUGGAUAAUGUAAAGCAUAUGCCAAGAAGGCAAGUAUGCAUAUGUCAAUUGAUGUGAAAAACACAAUUGAAACCUAUACAGGAGCAUUGGCUAUCAGACCAAGCGUCAUCCCCAUCUAUGGACCCCAAUGGUAGUUAAUACCCACUUGUUUUGUUUACAUGGUCACGAUAUCUAUGUGCUUUGCCCUUCAUUUCGUUCUCCUGCUUGUCCCGGAGGACAGAUUUCGACAGUAAUUGUUAU
Molecule: non-coding RNA, 657 nt
Organism: Pelobates cultripes (western spadefoot toad)
Lineage: Eukaryota; Metazoa; Chordata; Amphibia; Anura; Pelobatidae
Source: the annotation of a GenBank genome assembly